Molecule: non-coding RNA, 87 nt
Organism: Xylaria bambusicola
Lineage: Eukaryota; Fungi; Ascomycota; Sordariomycetes; Xylariales; Xylariaceae
Source: the annotation of a RefSeq genome assembly
GACAGCGUGGUGUAAUGGCGCACGCUUGGUAGUAUUGGCCGCCAUCCGAGAAGCCAAGAAGAGUUGGUUCGAUUCCAGCAGUUGCCA